RNAcentral lists this unclassified non-coding RNA (391 nucleotides) under Hevea brasiliensis (rubber tree). The record is from RNAcentral. Lineage: Eukaryota; Viridiplantae; Streptophyta; Magnoliopsida; Malpighiales; Euphorbiaceae.
GUUUGUUCCAAGUCCCGAAAUACAAUUUUUCAGAGAACCAUUUGAAUUGUGGCUUAAACUUCAGUCAUCGUUGUGUAUCUGACAGUGAAGGUUCUCCCAGUAAAUCAAAGACUGGUCUCGUAAUUGGUAUCGUUGGUGGAUUUCUUGGAAUUAUCCUUCUUGGGGGAUUAAUGUUAUUUUUCUGGCGGGGGAGGAACAAAGGCUACAAACGUGAAAUCUAUGUUGAUGUUCCAGGUGAGGUUGACAGACGAAUUCCAUUUGGUCAAUUGAGGAGAUUCGCAUGGAGGGAAUUGCAACUCGCUACUGAUAACUUUAGUGAAAAGAAUGUUCUUGGACAGGGAGGUUUUGGCAAGGUUUAUAAAGGAGUGCUCAGUGAUAGCACUAAAGUUGC